ACUGGGCGCAGAGGUGCGUGCCUGUAGUCCCAGCUACUCAGGAGGCUGAGGUGGGAGGAUCGUUUGAGCCCAGGAGUUCUGGGCUGUAGUGUGCUAUGCUGAUAGGGUGUCCGCACUAAGUUCAGCAUCAAUAUGGUGACCUCCCGGGAGUGGGGGACCACCAGGUUGCCUAAGGAGGGUUGAACCGGUCCAGGUGGGAAAUGGAGCAGGUCAAAACUCCUGUGCUGAUCAGUAUUGGGAUCACACUUGUGAAUAGCCACUGCACUCCAGCCUGAGCAACAUAGCGAGACCCCAUCUCUA
Unclassified non-coding RNA from Callithrix jacchus (white-tufted-ear marmoset), 300 nucleotides. It matches the Rfam family "Metazoan signal recognition particle RNA". From Rfam's summary of the family: The signal recognition particle (SRP) is a universally conserved ribonucleoprotein. It is involved in the co-translational targeting of proteins to membranes. The eukaryotic SRP consists of a 300-nucleotide 7S RNA and six proteins: SRPs 72, 68, 54, 19, 14, and 9. The record is from Ensembl. NCBI's taxonomy places the organism in Eukaryota, Metazoa, Chordata, Mammalia, Primates, Cebidae.